UCAAGCGGUGGGAACCAGUGGGGUGCGGGCAGUCACUGCGGGCAGUGCAGGCAGCGCAGGCAGUGGGGCAGUGCAGGCAGCGGGGCAGUGGAGCGGUGCAGGCAGCGGAGCUGCACCCUGGGGACCAGCACCACAUCCCAGCACCUGCCCGCCACACCAGCACAACAGCCGUCACCUUCCCGCAUCCCGCCGACGAUGCAACCGGAGAGAAGAGCCAGCCGGUGAGCACUUGCAAUACAGCUCGAGUGGCAGCUGAUUGGAGGACCUGCGUUGCCAGAAAGGCAAAUAUCCCAUCAGUCAGAGGAACAAAGCCGGGAUUUAGGGAAGCGAACGGAAGCGUGAGAUCCCAGCACUCCAUGCGUAAGGCAGCAGUGCCAGAAUGGUGGGGCCGGGAUUUACCCAGCACCUGGAGCGCACAGAAUUUCAGGAAUGGGAACCAGGCAGAGGACACUGAUGACACCAGGAUGCCAGCACACGGUCAUGUCCCUGCAGACCAGAAAGCACCAGCAUGGCGAAUGGGACACGGUGCAGGUCCAGGCAGCCCCACCCACACGGCCACUGCCACACUGAGAAAUGGGAAAUUGGUCUGGGGGGGAAACCCUUCUGUAUUUUGUGGCGGUUAUAAUACUAAAUGAAACCAAGCUGAUUACGCUUCUUAACCCUUUGCUCUGGUGAAAUAAGGCUCCUCAGUCAGAAGCACAGAAGCCCUGGCUCUGCCAAGCUCCCACGUCGGGAGUCACUGACACCAGCGCCCCAGCUCUGCCCCUGGCACGGCUUUGGUGCAGCUGCCCUGUGGUACCUGGCACACAUGGUGUCAACGUUCCCUCAGCAGCUCCUGUUCGCCCAGUCUCCAGGUGGCAGAUGGGGCCGGGGGGUUAAGCUGCAUCGGGGGUGCACCCCAUGGCAGGGCAGAGAGCGUGUGGGGGCACCAAGGAAGUGACACCCCCCUCCUCAGUGACACCAUUGGGUGUCCAGGAGCAUCCACUUAGGGCACGGGUGCGGGCUGGCGCCUGCAGACCUUGCAGCAGCUCUAGCCAGCUCGGGUCCCGCGGGUGCUCCCUGGGGACGGCUGGGAGGAAAAGCAGUCCCAAGCAGCCCUGCACAGACCCUCAGUACGGGGGGGGCUUCUGCUUCAUGUCAGAAUGCAUUUCCCACAUAUCGCAGCAUUUCACCACUUGGCCUGAUGCCCUGCGCCUCUGCCUGUCCCAAGGUGACGUUUCACUUUUGUUGUUUCACGCACUGUCACGUUUGGAUAUCCUUACAGGCUUGGAAGUGAAACACAACCCAAAGAGCAUUGUAACAACUUCUCAAGAGAAAGUGGGUUUCUAAAAUUAAACCAGCAUAAUCAGAGAAUGGAA
This is a long non-coding RNA of Columba livia (rock pigeon), 1358 nucleotides long. RefSeq lists it as uncharacterized. Lineage: Eukaryota; Metazoa; Chordata; Aves; Columbiformes; Columbidae. The record is from RefSeq and is a predicted model, not a curated record. The transcript has 3 exons.